AUGCAACCAGAUAAUAGAAAUUUCCAGUCUCUCAGCUUCCUCCUGCUGCCCCAGGUCUGCUUAUCAAGGCCCUGCCCAUCCUUCAAAGUCAGAAGUCAUCUCCUCCAUGGAGUCCUCCAGCAUGUGAACGUUCCCAAGGAUGGAAUAAACACCAUUUCUUAUGACAUGCCACUCGGUGGCCUCAGCAGGACCUGGAUUGGAUUUCUGUAUCAGCUCCUUACCUGCUGGAUGCCCUGGGAUGAGAGACUUGAUUACCUCUUGCCUUCAUUUUCCUCAUCUGUAAAACAAGGAUGGUGUUAUUUUUAUUUCCUGGAUCAGAAGGAGGAGGACAUUAAUAUAUGAAUUAGAUUAAUAUAUGGAAAGAAAAUAAGGCCAGCCCCUGCCCCCAGGUAAGUGUUGGUGGUGGCAGUGAUGGCGGCAGAAGUAAAUGUUACCAUUCAAACACACCUGCGAGUUGGAACGAACCUCCUGCUAAUGGCGCAUGUGUUCUAAAGAGGUUGUCUGUUAACUGUCCCCUAGUAAUUUGGGACGUCGGUGUCUGAAUUUUUAAAUUCCGGGAUUCCCACUUCCAUGUUUUUCCACCAACUCCUGACAGCACUUUGGGAAGUAAGAAAGAAAUUCAUUUCAUCCUAGUUUUCUGGACCUCUUUUUUCCUAUUCCACCAAGCUCUGUGUCUUCAACCCCAGGUGACCUAUCGCAGGGUGAGGCACGCAGUGGGGAGCCAGAGUGAUGCUCCUGUAAUAUGAAUAAUUUGGACAUUUCUCUCCCCAUUCUAUCUAAUGGGUCUUUUUCUACAUAAUCCUUGUAUCCCCAGGAACUGGUCCUUCUCCCUGGAUUUCUGACCACAUCUUCUUACUGAUUCCUCGAGGACAGCUUCCGCUAGAGCUUUGCUAGUUCCGAACUCCUCCUUCUCAGCCAUGCUUCAUACUCAUUCUGUACCCCAAUUAACUGCUCGGGGGGCAACCAGCCUACUUCCAUGUUAACUUGAACCUCAAGCAGCCAGGCCCUCCAAGGUAUUCGGGCGACACUGAGUUCAGACCCAUCUUGUUUAUCCUCUCUAUGUAGCAUUAACCAUCAAAAACCAAAACAAAACAAAAAAAACCCAUAAGAAAUUAUGGUUCAAAGAGUAUACUUUUGAUAUUGAAAUUAUUGUACUUUUCUCUAGGUCCUUGAAAAUCAGUUAUUUGUGAAGGCAUUUAUGGUAAACUUUGGCCGACUGGAAUAUUCAGUUAACCAGAACACUUGCAUAAUGUGAAGCUGUAAACACUUAGAUUGACCAUCUACUCUAUGUAAGCUCUUUGCUAGAUAUUCUGGGUUAGCAAUUCUUGACCUUUGUCUGUGGAAUUCUGCGAGGUUCACAAAUGGACUUUAGGAAUGUAUGGACCCAUUGAGUUUGUGUGCAAAAUUUUAUAUUUGCAUAUUUAUGUUUUGUUUUGUUUUGUUUUCCUACAGAAAAAGAGUCCAUACUGUUGCUAAGUUAUAAUUAGACCUUAUGUCAGGACCCUAGAUGAUUAAGCAUUUUCUCCAUGGCAUGUGCUUGGAAAAGGAUGCUUUAUGCAAGAAUGUCACGGAUGGAUAAAAGUUACCAAGACUUGCUAUAUAGCACAAGGAACUCUACCCAAUAUUCUGUGAGAACCUAUAUGGGAAAAGAAUAUGAAAAAGAAUGGAUAUGUUGGAGUCCCUGUUGUGGCUCAGCAGUAACGAACCUGACUAGGAUCCACGAGGAUGCAGGUUCAAUCCCUGGCCUCACUCAGUGGGUUAAGGAUCCGGCAUAGCUCUGAGCUGUGGUGUAGGUCGCAGAUGUGGCUCGGAUCUGAGUGGCCCUAAAAAACAACAACAACAACAAAAAAAAAUGGAUAUGUGUAUGUGUAUAACUGAAUCACUUUGUUGUACAGCAGAAAUUAAUACAACAUUGUAAAUCAACGACACUUCAAUAAAACUUUUUAAAAAAUGGAAAAAAGAGAACA
RNAcentral lists this long non-coding RNA (1967 nucleotides) under Sus scrofa (pig). RNAcentral's name for it is "lncRNA (ENSSSCG00070010589.1)". Lineage: Eukaryota; Metazoa; Chordata; Mammalia; Artiodactyla; Suidae. The record is from RNAcentral.